UUCCGGGCGCGCUCGUUCGGUUGCUGCUUCGCGCCGAGCGGUUCGGAUAAUGUGGACAUCAGGCGGGCGGUGUGCUGGCCGGACCGACUGCACUUCGCGGCAAAACAACUCUCUUAGUCAGGUGGAGGUGGAGAGCGCCUUCCGGCAAUUGUAUAGUUCUUUGUGUGGGACCAAAGAAAAAGUUGAGAAAACAGCACUGGAGAAUGACCAUUUUGCUACUACCACGAUAAGUGAAGAUUUGGACAAACCACUAGGAUUAGAGAAUUUAACAGUGUGUUCCAUCCUAUCUGAGCAACUGGCGCUGAGGAAUAGUGACAGUGGCAGAGCCACCACUAGUAUUUGCAGCAGUGAAUCUCAAACUGCAAGACACUUUGCUAAAGAAUCCAAUCUAAAAUUGAACACACUUCUGACAAAGGCAAAAGAGAAACAGAUGUCAAAUGGUGACACUCUGUUCUUUACUGUAAAGCAACCAGUUUCCCAAAUAGAAGGUUCAACUCUCCAAAACCAUGAUGGGAAUGAGGAAGAAAAUUUCGAAUUAUCCAGGGAAGAUUAUGAUUGUAUCUCAACAAACUCUGGAGAGGAUUACAGAGAAACGGUCACCUGUGAAGCUUGCUCAAAUGUGUAUUGGAAAGUGAUGAAUAGAAAGAGAACUAAGAAGAGACAUGUAUCACACAAGAAAUCACCAUAUGAUCCCACUUCUUUAUCAUGUGACCAAUGGAUUUUGAAAAAGCCCUUGCUGCCUAGAGGUCCUGUACAGAGAAGUAAAAGAGAAAGCUGGUAUUUGAAAUCUAUUGGCACAUCUUCUCAGAGUGAAGCUACAGGAAAAUGGAUUCCACAGUGUUCUCGACCUCAUGUGUUUCUGCAGAGAUGGUGCCAGACCUGGAGAGUUGUCACCAGCACAGUGUUUGCAAAAUUCUGCAAAUUGUUUGGAGAAACAUACUAAUGUCAUCAGCCUUUCCCAGGAUGAUAUCCCCGGAAUUGAGGCAGUUGUCAUAUAUGACCAACUUGAAUAUGACACAGACUUGUGAAACAAGAGCUCUACUUCAAGCUCUACAAUAGUGAGCAAUUGUUCGGAUGGCAGAGAAAAUGCUAUGAGCAUGCUUUGAAAGCCUCCCUGAACAAAUUCACCAUCCCCACUGAUGUGGGAAUCGCUUGCCAUGGAAUGCAAAAAGAGUGCGCAGAUUCCAGAGCAUCCGACACACCUGCCUCAUGAGUUCAUAAGAUUUCGGAGCAGAAUUAGGCCAUUUGCCCCAUUGAGUCUGCUCUGACAUUCAGUCAUGGCUGAUAUGCUUCUCACCCCCAGCCACACUCUCCUGUUCCUGACCACUGGCUGAAUUCAAGUUGAUUCACUGGAUGAGCUUGUCGAAAUUUAAUCAGCAGCACCUCCCAGAAAAUGAAUUCAGAAGGGACUUGGGAAUGCCAUUACCUUGAGACUAUACACCAUUUCAACUUUGAUACAUAAUAUUUUUGAACUGUUGUUGGGUCUCAGUCUUGGAACGUCUGAUUUAUAGUAGUGUGGGAAUUACCUUUAUCACAUGACACUGCAGUUCAGGGACUGUCAUGCAUUUUGUAUAAUGGGUCCACAAAAUUACACACUGACCACCAAUUUACAUAAAUUAACAUUGCUUCUUUGCUUGUGAAUGCCACGUGACUAUUCAUAAUGACUCCAAAAUGUGACUUGGCUGGAACACGUGUUUGAACCAUAAGGUGUCUAUGUUCUUUCAUAUCUUUAAUAUCUUUUCCCAUUAAGCAUAUUCUCCUUUUGCAUUUUGUGUCACAAAAUAUUUCACACAUUAAACUGCAGAUGCCAUCAGCCUGCCCAUCCUGCUAAUCUGUUUGUAUGGUCAUGAAGUAAUUUGCAGUCUCCUCACUGUUUGUCAUACAUCCCACUUUUGAAUCAUAGGCACAUUUAAAAUGUGUACUUAUGCCAAUGUCUAAAUUAAAUAUGUAAAAAUGUUUAACAUAAACAAAUAAAUAAAGUGAAACUAAGAA
This is an RNA transcript of Hemiscyllium ocellatum (epaulette shark), 1992 nucleotides long. RefSeq lists it as uncharacterized. The transcript is spliced from 6 exons. The record is from RefSeq and is a predicted model, not a curated record. Lineage: Eukaryota; Metazoa; Chordata; Chondrichthyes; Orectolobiformes; Hemiscylliidae.